CAGUAUGGAUUCCUUACAGUCACCGUAAAAAGAGCCUGUGCAUUUCAGCAUUUUCAAUAUCUGGCAAAAACAGCUCACCGACUAAUGCAAAUUAUUUCAAACGGAUUGAUGAAUCAAUUGUUUUAUGAAGUUUUACAAUAUGGGGAAUAAAGCUUCCAGCCAUGUCGUCGGAGUCGAAGAAUUCGGCCAUCCUAUACAAUACCACUAUUCACAUGAAGAUUUUAUUGGACGCGAAACUAUUGGCGUUGUUUACAGAGCCGAAGUUACAAAACGUAGUGGUUACAGCUUAGGACAAAAUGGUCGCAUACCCAACAUCUCCACAUUCAGCACGCAUGCAGCGCAGUACACUGUACGAGUGAGUUCAAAAUAUCCGUUUCGUACAAGUGCACUGCACCGCUUGCGUACAGAAUGCUGGGUAUGGGGCUAUGCGACCAUUUAGUCCUACAUUGUACAUUGGAUCAGAUGUGAUAGCUGUCAAAGUGAUACGUUUAUCCGACGAUUCAGACCACGAAAAGUGGACUGAAGCUGUAGCAGGACUGCGGAUGCUCACAAGACUGGUGCACAAGCAUAUUGUGCUUCACCACAAGAUUUCCGUCAUUAAAGCGCCCCACGGAAUAACAGUGGAGCUGGCAAUGGAUUACCACAAAGGCGAUCUUGCAUCAUUUUUACGAGAAGCCUGGACAAACAACUCCUUAAUCAGUUAUGAAAAAGUCAUCCGAUUCGCAGAGCACAUAACCCGAGGACUAGAAUACUUACAUCGGGAAAACAUUAUACAUGGCGACUUAAAACCGGCAACCAUUCUUGUAAACAGCUUGCAAAACUGCCAGGAAGAGCUUGUGAUCGGACGAAAAAUUGACAUUUGGAGUUUGGGCUGCAUUAUACUAGAAAUGGCUGAAUGUUGGCAGCGCGUUACCACGAAGCGAUUGAUAUACAAAGGAGAAAUCAAACACGCUGGAAGUUAUAUCUCUAAUGGCACGUAGGCAGAGUUAAUCAUUGAUGGCUAUGUUCCAUUCAUCAGCAGCGACAUACCAAAGGAUUUGGCGGCAUGCAUUCGGCGUUGCUUGCAGUGGGACGCCAGCAAGCGGUUAUCUGCCUCUUCUCUCUUAAACGAAAUCGCUGACCUUUCUGUUAAAAGACUGCAGACGCAUUGUUACGACGAACAGCUUGAAAAUAGUCCAACUGCCACGGACAGUAAAACGCCAAAUAGCAGCUCACAAACGCCUGCUAGCGACGCCCCAGAAAGAACCGAAAUUAUUCGCUUUGGCCGCACUGUGCUAGAGUAUGAUAAAAAAGCCGACUGGAUUGGGCACGGCGGGUGUGCCACAGUUUUCAAAGCAGUUGUUAAGGUUUCUGGUGACUAUCGAGGACCCGAUGUCGUCGCGAUCAAGCAGAUUUACGAUGUAACCAGUUUAUCACCACGUGACUCUCACGCAUUAGCAACAGGAGAUUCCAAGUGGGGACGUGUGUUGAAACUGCGACACGAAAAUGUUGUUCGCUAUCCAGUGUUGCUUUACUGUCAGUUUUGGAACUUUACUUACUGUUUACUGUCGCAAACUUUUGUUUUACUUUACUGUUACUGUUUUUCUGCCCAAACCUUUACUGUUUAUUUACUGUUUACUGUUCGCCUCAAAAUUUACUUUACUAAGUAAACCAGUAUUACUCAGUAAUACUUUUUGCCAGCCAAAAAUUUCAAUCAAGAAAAUUGUUAUACCACGGAAAGUUACACGGUGUACGGCAUGAGUUCACACUGCGCAGUGCAACAACUGCAGGUCGGCCUUGCUCAUUUGGAUUUUGGCGAUAAAUUUCGCCACAAGCAGACAAAUUUCGCGCGAAGCGCGAAGGUAACAAGCAGUUUUCGGUUGAAAUCUCUGAAAAUUCCAGUAAAAAUCGUAGUAACAAAACUAAAAAUUUUCCUUUACUGUUUACUUACUGUUUACUGUCAGCCCAAAAUCUUUACUUACUUUUACUGUUACUAUUCUCAAAAAACGUUACUGUUUAUUUACUGUUUAAUAUUAGGCUACGGUUUACUGUUUACUGCCAGUUUACUUACUGUUUACUAAGUAAAGCAACAUUGUCGCUAUCACGAUGUCGUCAGCGAGCCGAUGCCAUAUGGAAGUUUCGUUCAAAUCAUGAUGGAUUACGCUCCAGGUUCGGAAUGGUGUCGUGCAUUUACUUGAUAAAAGCAAUUUUUUCGAAGAGAAGGCCAGCCGGCCAGAUGAUCCGAUAGCGGACCCAAAUGGUAACACAAAGUGAUAUCCGUGCAUGUCCGCUCUGUUAUCACUGGUUGUAGCCCGCUCUGCAGCCUUCUAUUACAUCUGUGGCACGAUAGUACACGUUAACUUUUUCCGGGCAUGUGUUUUGCUUGUAUCCACAGUAUCCCACCAUAUCCGACAGCAUCCGCUACGUAUCUUUCAUGUAUGUAUCCUCCAAAUUUUCUACUUUUGUUUGACCACUAACGUAACGUAUCUCAUCGUAUCUCUACACUUACCUAAUUCUUUAUGUAUCCCGAAGAUUAUGUUUUAAUAACCUAAAAGAACUACCUAGAUACUAGAAAGAUACUUAACGGAUACAAGUACAGUAAGGAUACGUAAAGAUACGUUGGGAUGCUGCAGUAGUGCAGGCAGGUACAGUCUGUAUGUACUAACACCCCCAAAGUUGUAUUCAGCAGGAUACAUAUCGAAUACGGUAGAGAUACUGUGUCUUUCGAAGGUGAUACGCAUCCGAACAUCACUUACUAUUCUGCAAGUCUGGCGAAUAUUGUUAAUGAGGUCAUUCUUUUUAACCAGCGCGUCCCACGAUAUUCUCGCAGUAUCCUUCGUGAAUCCUCCAUAUCCCGUCAUUUACUUUGGUUUUCUUAAGUUUUUUUUGGGAUACGUAAAUGAUACGGUUGGGAUACGGCAAUGAACAUAAUAUAACAACAAGUAAAAUAGAUACGUUGGGAUGCUGUGAGGAUUCAUGCGAGGGAAAAAAACUGUAAAAAAGUACGCCCAGAGAAGUUUUCGUGUACAAAGUUGUCUAUACCUGUACUUCGGUUUUUCGGUCACCCUAAGUUAAGACGGCGGAAUUUUGAGAAAACCGAAUUUCAUUUUGGUUCUGCGAAUUAAUAGAUCGCGACUCGCGAUCGCUGCUGAAAGAUUUAAAGGGAAAAGGCGAGAAGCUCCAACUCAGCAGUGGGGCCGACUUCGGGAAGCAAAUCACGAGGGGUCUGGUAUUUCUCCAUGCAAAUGAUAUCACACACACCGAUAUGAAACCGGCUAACGUGCUCCUGCGAAAGACUAGCACAGAGGAGUACCAUCUGUUCAUUGGAGAUCUGGACACCAGCGUCUUCAUGGAGCACAGUUACACCACUAGCAAAGACCCCAACCGCUUAUUAUAUACUGCACCGUACAUGUCACCCGAAAUGGCCGGGUAUGUUCUCCAGACAGAAGCGACAGCCCGACCUGGUAGAAAAACGGAUGUAUGGAGCAUGGGUUGUAUCCUUAUUGCCCUGGUCAACAGCCAUUUGGGCACUACAGAUCAAUGGCUGGAAAAGGGCGAUACGAAGGAAAGCUUUCAAAUUACUGAGAAGGUAUCCUCUAUGACGGUUGUUUUCAAGGUGAAGGGCGGAUUUAGACCGGUGAUCGAUCGGAGUACGCAUCAAGGUAUUCGGGAAUUAAUCGAGAACUGUUUGCGGGAUGAUGCUGAGCAAAGAUUUUCCGCUGCAUCCGUACUCGACACUCUGGAAUAUUUGGAUUUGUAGCAGCCGGAUCUGCCGACAUGUGGCAAUAUUCUUUUAAAAUUUUGCAUGGUUAACGAAAGCGCUGGUGGGUGUACUUCCACCGUAAACAUGUCUUCUGUGGUGGACAAACGAUAUAAGUUCCAUACGCGGACAUUUGGGUGCUGUGAACAUACCCUUCACGAUUAGGGUGCGAUGAACACCCGACUGCUCUGCAGCUCGCAACGCUACUAACAUCACGGUCGGAAUUUUAAAAAUAAAUCCAAGUUUAAAACGCACAGCAUCCAGUACGAGUACGACUGUACAAGUACUCCCACAUAUUUGUUUAUUUCCACUAUCUUGUUGUUCUAGAUUUGUUGUAAUGAUGUUUGUUUUUCUUUUUUUACUAAUUAUUCUGAUUUGCUACGUGUACUAAAUCUACCUGUCCACAAAUAUCAGCUAUCAGCUAUGAAUGUAGUCGCCAGAGCUUGUCAUAAUGAUGCUAUGGACGCAGCAGUCAAGCCAUGUCAGGAAGGAAUUUCUGUUCUGUGACUCAAAAUUGGGAAGCACUAUGAUCUUAUAAAAUGUGGUUUGAAGAUACGAUAAUUUUUUGUGGAAUGUAAUUUGUCGA
RNA transcript from Paramacrobiotus metropolitanus, 4325 nucleotides. RefSeq lists it as uncharacterized. The transcript is spliced from 3 exons. The record is from RefSeq and is a predicted model, not a curated record. Lineage: Eukaryota; Metazoa; Tardigrada; Eutardigrada; Parachela; Macrobiotidae.